CAGUAGCCACGGGAAUACAGAGGGUGCGAGCGUUAAUCGGAUUUACUGGGCGUAAAGCGUGCGCAGGCGGUUAUAUAAGACAGAUGUGAAAUCCCCGGGCUCAACCUGGGAACUGCAUUUGUGACUGUAUAGCUAGAGUACGGCAGAGGGGGAUGGAAUUCCGCGUGUAGCAGUGAAAUGCGUAGAUAUGCGGAGGAACACCGAUGGCGAAGGCAAUCCCCUGGGCCUGUACUGACGCUCAUGCACGAAAGCGUGGGGAGCAAACAGGAUUAGAUACCCGGGUAGUCCCUGUCUCUUAUAC
Molecule: ribosomal RNA, 301 nt
Filed under: uncultured bacterium
Lineage: Bacteria
Description: partial 16S ribosomal RNA
Rfam family: Bacterial small subunit ribosomal RNA
Source: RNAcentral